RNAcentral lists this long non-coding RNA (4603 nucleotides) under Homo sapiens (human). Its description in RNAcentral is "HSALNT0406460". Lineage: Eukaryota; Metazoa; Chordata; Mammalia; Primates; Hominidae. The record is from RNAcentral.
ACCCGGACCUCGGCCUCCCGCGCCUCCCGCUGCCCCAGCCGCGCCCGGGGACCUCGGGCAGCCCGCGGGCCGGACGUGAACUUGACCCUGCGCUGUGCCCGCCUGGACCGCGGCGCGCUCGGGACGAUCUGAUUGAGCUUCUAGAGCCUCAGAGAUGGAAUUCGCCGUUUUGCCGCGAUUUGGCGUUAACUUAUUGACCCAUGGGGAGGAGGGUCACUUCCCGUGAAAAGGUAUAAAAUGAAGUUGUCAGUCUCUCUUUUUAAUUAAAAAAAAAAAAAAUCUCUGCAAAGAUUCUGCAUUCUGGCUUCUCUUUGCUAAAUUAAAGUGGCAUGUGUUUUUAUUUUAGAAGGCAGAGAUGUUUUGCUGUGCCCAGUGUGAGGAAGCGAAGGAAAAGAAAGAUCUUUUGAAAAUGUGUACAUCUACUUGCAGCUUGAAAAUUCCAAGUGCCAGACAUUUUUCUUGGAGGAAAUAAAUGUCUUCAAUUUAUUCAUCUUACCUGUUGAUUAUGUUCUGUAAUGAUUUAUUUUAUAAUUUAAUCCUUGUCUAGAACCGAGGCCAUCUUUGGAAAGUAAAAGACCUAGGUCUCUUUGGUCCAGGAGACAUUGUGGCCCUCUCUUAAAAUCAUUGACUGCCGAGAUCUGGGCCCAGGCGGCUCUCGGACUGAACCGGUCUGUGCUAGGCAGCCUGGCCCACUCGGCCUUCAAAACACAAGGGAUGGGAGACAUAUGCUCGGCUCACAUCGUUUUGUUUUGAUUUAUUUUAAACUGCUUAAGAUGAUUUUAGCACAAGGAGUGGUGUAUCUUACUUGCAUUCUGAGAGCCACUGGAUUUGCAAGCUAGAGUACAAUUUUUUUUUUAAUCCAAAUUUAGAAAUUGCCUUUUAGAGUAGACAACAGCAUGCUACUUUGCCUUUUAACUCACUUUUAAAGAACGAUUCUUAAGAUCAAGUACAUUGAAUUUGGAGAUUGGUCCCCCUCCGUUAUUAGGGGCUGGAAAUGGCCCACUUUUCAAAAAUAAGGUCAGAAAAGGGGUGUUUCUGACCUAAGAGUUCUUCCAGGCUGGGCUCGUACCACAGAGAUUCUUCCACACCCAUGUCCUGAGUCCUUGUCCUACACACCAUUUUUUCUUCCAAGGAGAAGGAGUGUGGCAUUCAGUUCCAGUGUCAUCGUGUGGAAAAGAGUCCCUGCCUGGCUGAGAAACUGUCACAGGCAGCCGGGCCACUUCCCAGCAUGACCCACAAGCCCGAUGGUGCCCCUCGAAUGGUUAAGGGACCCGUACAGAUACCAUUCUUUUAAAGCAAGCCAAUGCAAUCUUCACGAAUUGCAGUUCCACCCUGGCUGCUGGUACUAACUCUAAUAAUGGAAAAAAAUUUAAAAGAUUGGGGACAACAGGAAACACAUUGGAUCCCCAGGGGAAACGGCCUGGAAGCUACAGUAGAGACAUGGGUGACCCAAGGGCUCUGUUCAAGUCCUGGGGCUGUUCCCUUUAUUCCUCCAAGCCUCAGCUCCCCGGAUUUAAAGUGAGAACAGCACCCAGCCCAGCCCACUGUCAAGGGCUGUUGCAGGAAUAUGACAACAGCCACCAAUAUUUGCAUAGCAGAGAUGCCCAGUUUCGUUUUCUAUUUGAAAGUUUCUCUGAAGGGGGAUGUGCUAGAGACACGAGAACAACUGCUACCAUCUUAAUAACUUUUCUGGCAAUACACGACGAUGAUUGUUUAUGUUAAUCUCAUAACUAUUAACAAUAAUUCAUUUCAUUCUCAUAAUGAAUUAUAUCUAUUUGACUUAUAAUAAAUAGAAUCAUAUCAGUAAUAUAGUCCUUUUCUGAUCAUGAAAGCAACAUAUGCUCACUAUAGAAAAUUUGGAAAAUACAGAAAAAUGCACAUAAGGGAAAAAUUAUUCAUCCUUUCUCCCACGCAGAGACAAGCUCUGGUCACAUUUUCCUGUGUUUCCUUCCAGGCUCUGCUCUCUGCCGAGCGGCUUUCAUCAAUUCUCCUAGCAUCUAUUUUCAGAUAACUCCGUGGGCUUUUGUGAUUGGUCCUCCUUGUCGCCUUGGCCCCUCUGGUCCUCAGUGGCAGUUCUUUCUCUCUUGCUGCCUCCUUCAGGAGGGCCCGGCUCAGGGUCUGGGUGUUCAGGGAGAAGACCUCAGGCUCCACGGCACCCAGCCUCCUUGUCCUGCUGUGCUGGGAGCCCGGUUGGGGUAGCCCAGAUACACGGCCAGCACAGCCCCACGGCAAAGCCAGGCCUGCAGGUGGGCUCAGGGCAUCAGGGAGCCGGAGUGAGUGGCAUGAAACCCAUUAUCUCGCAGGGCCCGAGCUGUGGAGGUGAGCGCGCUAGGCCUUCCCAUGCAGGAGAGGGCUGGGAGGUGGGAAGAUGCAGGCAGGCUGUCCCCGACAGAAAACCCAGGAACACUGCAGCACGGAUUGGGAGGGGGGCGCUGAGAGAGUGUAAAAAGCAGCUUCAAUGCUUGAAUUCUAAGCAAAGAAAGAUGCUUGGGCCAAAUCAAACCGCUUCUUAGACGUGCAAAGUUUCAUCGGAACUGUUGGGAUAAUGUUUCCAAGGUGUUCAGCUUUAUGGCCCUGACUUACACCCGCCGCGUGGUUGGGGGUUAGUGCCAAGUGGCUUGGUAGGCAGAAAUCCACCAGAACUUCAGUGCAAGGGCACAAUCCCCCAAUAGCAUGUCACAAUCAUGCAUGUGCCUUGGCCGACCCCACAAGUCCAUCAGGAAAAAGUUCCACAGAACCAGGCCUCUGGAGGGGGAACCACACAGACCUCCCUAUUGCCUUCUGAGUAACUGAUCCAAAGGCAUUUCUAGAAUAGCCGGGUACGUUCAUGAUAGGAGAAAUGAAGUCUAUGGGGUCUACCUUUACCCGCUUAGAAUAAUGCAGUGGCCUCAACGUCUUAACAAUAGAUCAUUUGAGAUUUAUUAAUAACCCAAGUUGCAGACAAACUUCAUAGGCAAGAUCAUAGGUUGCAGUGUUCACUACAGUAUACAAAUAUUAGCAAGACAUGACAUAGGGAAUCAUAGGGGACAUGACAGUAAAUUAUCCCAUAGUGAAAUAAUGGAACAUUGUGUCACCGUUAAAACGGUGGUGACAUUUUGGGAGGCCAAGGCGGGUGGAUCACCUGAGGUCAGGAGCUCGAGACCAGCCUGGGCAACAUGGUGAAACCCCGUCUCUACUGAAAAUACAAAAAUUAGCCGGACGUGGUGGCUUGUGCCUGUAAUCCCAGCUAGUCGGGAGGCUGAGGCAGGAGAAUCGCUUGAACGCAGGAGGUGGAGGUUGCAGUGAGCCGAGAUUGCGCCAUUGCACUCCAGCCUGGGUGACAAGAGCGAAACUCCAUCUCAAUAAAUAAAUAAAUAAUAAUAAAAUGGUAUUGACAAAAAGUUUGGAAUGGUAUGGGUGUGUACGGGAUACAACACCUUCCUACAGUAUGUACAUAUGUAAGGCAUGUCUGUGUAUGUAUAUGUGUGCUGAACAAUGGUUGGGAGGGAAAUACAACAGAAUAUUAUUUCUGGAUUGCGGCAUGUAGGUGAAUUUUCCUUUUUUUGUGUAUUUUAUACUUAACCCAUAUUUUUUAUUUACUACUGAAAUUAUAUCUUAAAUAUCUGUCUUUAUAUUUUAUUCUUAAAUUGCGUAUAAUUUACACUUUCCUGUGCCUUCAUUAAACACGUGGUAUAUUUAUAAUCAGGGAAAAACUAUUUUUAAAGACUCAUUAUAGGAAGAUAGACAAAUAGAGACAAAUGGCAUGCUUUCUUUCAGUCAUUGGGGAUGGAUGAUACACGUAGCAGAAGUAUUCGUUAGACCAACAAAUAGGAAUAGUAAGUCAAUAUUGUUCUUUCUUUAAUAAAAGAUUUAUAUGUUGGUAGCUUAUUAAUCCAAUACUAUGUGAGUUUUCUAACCAAACACAUAUACUUGUACGCCAGGGCAGAAAAAUCUCAAUUAAGAUUUUGUGUGGACUCGGGAAGUGUUUUUGUUCCCUAAACAAUAGCCUUAAGAAGGGUGGAAAAAGGCCCGUCUUCUUCUUGGAUCCUUGGUUGGGUGACAACCCUCCGGUGGUGAGACAUGGUGCCUGAUUUUCAGUUGGGGCUUUCUGCUUCCCCUGUUUGGUUUUCUAGGGACAAUUUAAAAGAUUCUGCAAGUUAAUUACUGGAGAAGUCCGUAGAUCCUGGAUUCAUAGUAUCAGAUUAAUUGUGGUCUUUGAGUGGGAAUCCUAGUGGUUUAUUUAGACUCAUCAGUUGUCUUAUUCUUUUUUUUAAAAAGAAAGAAAACAUUUAUUUUCGUAAGCUUGUAUUGCCCUUAAAAUAUUUCUCUGCACUCUUAGGUCACCUGCCUAUUCACGCCAGGAGCGCAUCGCUUGCGUUAAGAGACUAGAAGUUUCUUUCUUAACCAUAAUGUGCCAGGAUUUUGUUAUACGGAAAAAUCUGUCCGUGUUUCCAACUAAUAUUUCCUAGCCUUCAGGCAAGUGCGACUUGCUUCACUGUAAAAUGGAUUCCCAGGACCUGCCGUAUCGGGACGGGCAGAAUUCUUUAAAAUGCAGUGCCCCGGGCAACCCCAUCACUUCCCGGCUGGCUCCGGGCGGUCCCGGGCUGCCCGCCGGCCGCAGAGC